AUUUCAUUAACUCGCUCUUUAGAAGCUUCUUUGGUUUGGACUCUAAUUCUCGGCUAAAGAGGGCCCUAGUUGGUUCUAGAACGGCCUGAGGUAGAGGGGUUUUAGUCGGUAGGUCCGAGGACUUGUUCCUCGAGAAUCCGACACUACCCAGUCGUACGGACGGCUGGGUGUCUUUUGAAGAUUUCCCCUCUUCCACGAAA
Molecule: non-coding RNA, 200 nt
Organism: Agrilus planipennis (emerald ash borer)
Lineage: Eukaryota; Metazoa; Arthropoda; Insecta; Coleoptera; Buprestidae
Source: Rfam